This 700-nucleotide ribosomal RNA is filed under the name uncultured Bacteroidales bacterium. RNAcentral describes it as "bacterial SSU rRNA". It matches the Rfam family "Bacterial small subunit ribosomal RNA", at positions 77 to 776 of the family's 1533-position model. The record is from RNAcentral. Lineage: Bacteria; Pseudomonadati; Bacteroidota; Bacteroidia; Bacteroidales.
UGCUUUCUUUGCUGGCGACCGGCGCACGGGUGAGUAACACGUAUCCAACCUGCCCUUUACUCGGGGAUAGCCUUUCGAAAGAAAGAUUAAUACCCGAUGGCAUAAUGAUUCCGCAUGGUUUCAUUAUUAAAGGAUUCCGGUAAAGGAUGGGGAUGCGUUCCAUUAGGUUGUUGGUGAGGUAACGGCUCACCAAGCCUUCGAUGGAUAGGGGUUCUGAGAGGAAGGUCCCCCACAUUGGAACUGAGACACGGUCCAAACUCCUACGGGAGGCAGCAGUGAGGAAUAUUGGUCAAUGGGCGUUAGCCUGAACCAGCCAAGUAGCGUGAAGGAUGAAGGCUCUAUGGGUCGUAAACUUCUUUUAUAUAAGAAUAAAGUGCAGUAUGUAUACUGUUUUGUAUGUAUUAUAUGAAUAAGGAUCGGCUAACUCCGUGCCAGCAGCCGCGGUAAUACGGAGGAUCCGAGCGUUAUCCGGAUUUAUUGGGUUUAAAGGGAGCGUAGGUGGACUGGUAAGUCAGUUGUGAAAGUUUGCGGCUCAACCGUAAAAUUGCAGUUGAUACUGUCAGUCUUGAGUACAGUAGAGGUGGGCGGAAUUCGUGGUGUAGCGGUGAAAUGCUUAGAUAUCACGAAGAACUCCGAUUGCGAAGGCAGCUCACUGGACUGCAACUGACACUGAUGCUCGAAAGUGUGGGUAUCAAACAGG